RNAcentral lists this transfer RNA (85 nucleotides) under Felis catus (domestic cat). It matches the Rfam family "tRNA". From Rfam's summary of the family: Transfer RNA (tRNA) molecules are approximately 80 nucleotides in length. Their secondary structure includes four short double-helical elements and three loops (D, anti-codon, and T loops). The record is from Rfam by way of RNAcentral. Lineage: Eukaryota; Metazoa; Chordata; Mammalia; Carnivora; Felidae.
GCCAGGGUGGCUGAGUCAGUUAAGCGCCUGACUUCAGCUCAGGUCAUGAGCUCUGGGUCCUUGGGUUCGAGCCCCGCAUCAGGCU